AAAUGAAUAGACGGGGGCCCGCACAAGCAGUGGAGUAUGUGGUUUAAUUCGAAGCAACGCGAAGAACCUUACCAGGUCUUGACAUCCACGGAAUCCGAUAGAGAUAUUGGAGUGCCCUUCGGGGAAUCGUGAGACAGGUGGUGCAUGGUUGUCGUCAGCUCGUGUCGUGAGAUGUUGGGUUAAGUCCCGCAACGAGCGCAACCCUUAUCAAUAGUUGCUACGCAAGAGCACUCUAUUGAGACUGCCGUUGACAAAACGGAGGAAGGUGGGGAUGACGUCAAAUCAUCAUGCCCCUUAUGACCUGGGCUACACACGUACUACAAUGGCGUAACAAAGGGAAGCAACACCGCGAGGUGGAGCAAAUCUCAAAAAGACGUCUCAGUUCAGAUUGCAGGCUGCAACUCGCCUGCAUGAAGACGGAAUUGCUAGUAAUCGCAGAUCAGCAUGCUGCGGUGAAUACGUUCCCGGGCCUUGUACACACCGCCCGU
RNAcentral lists this ribosomal RNA (488 nucleotides) under uncultured bacterium. RNAcentral's name for it is "bacterial SSU rRNA". It matches the Rfam family "Bacterial small subunit ribosomal RNA", at positions 903 to 1397 of the family's 1533-position model. The record is from RNAcentral.